Molecule: ribosomal RNA, 402 nt
Filed under: uncultured bacterium
Lineage: Bacteria
Description: bacterial SSU rRNA
Rfam family: Bacterial small subunit ribosomal RNA
Source: RNAcentral
UGGGGAAUCUUGCACAAUGGGGGCAACCCUGAUGCAGCGACGCCGCGUGAGCGAUGAAGCCCUUCGGGGCGUAAAGCUCUUUCGCCCGGAACGAUAAUGACGGUACCGGGAGAAGAAGCUGCGGCUAACUACGUGCCAGCAGCCGCGGUAAUACGUAGGCAGCAAGCGUUGUUCGGAGUUACUGGGCGUAAAGAGUGCGUAGGCGGUUUUCUAAGUUCGGUGUGAAAUCUCCCGGCCUAACUGGGAGGGUGCGCCGAAGACUGGGAAGCUGGAGUGUGGGAAAGGCAGGCGGAACUCCUGGUGUAGCGGUGAAAUGCGUAGAUAUCAGGAGGAACACCGGCGGUGUAGACGGCUUGCUAGACCAUAACUGACACUGAGGCACGAAAGCGUGGGGAGCAAACA